RNAcentral lists this ribosomal RNA (433 nucleotides) under uncultured bacterium. Its description in RNAcentral is "partial 16S ribosomal RNA". It matches the Rfam family "Bacterial small subunit ribosomal RNA", at positions 29 to 507 of the family's 1533-position model. The record is from RNAcentral.
AACGAACGCUGGCGGCAGGCCUAACACAUGCAAGUCGAGCGAGGACUUCGGUCCUAGCGGCGGACGGGUGAGUAACGCGUGGGAACGUGCCCUUUGCUUCGGAAUAGCCCUGGGAAACUGGGAGUAAUACCGGAUGAGCCCUUUGGGGGAAAGAUUUAUCGGCGAAGGAUCGGCCCGCGUUGGAUUAGGUAGUUGGUGGGGUAAUGGCCUACCAAGCCGACGAUCCAUAGCUGGUUUGAGAGGAUGAUCAGCCACACUGGGACUGAGACACGGCCCAGACUCCUACGGGAGGCAGCAGUGGGUAAUCUUAGACAAUGGGGGAAACCCUGAUCUAGCCAUGCCGCGUGAGCGAUGAAGGCCUUAGGGUUGUAAAGCUCUUUCAGCUGGGAAGAUAAUGACGGUACCAGCAGAAGAAGCCCCGGCUAACUCCGUG